GUUUGACCUCGGAUCAGGUAGGGUUACCCGCUGAAACUUAAGCAUAUCAAUAAG
RNAcentral lists this ribosomal RNA (54 nucleotides) under Lomentospora prolificans. RNAcentral's name for it is "partial 28S ribosomal RNA". The record is from RNAcentral. Lineage: Eukaryota; Fungi; Ascomycota; Sordariomycetes; Microascales; Microascaceae.